CCUCUCUCCACGUCCACGGCGCCGAGUCUCGCCACGGUGGCGCAGGCGCCAGGGAGGUUCCCCGGCUUUGCCGCGCGGAGGAAGUCCCGGUUACGCAGAGCGCGCUGGGGCAGGGCUGACCUUCCCCUUUCUCUACUUCACUGGCCUCCUCCAGACGUGGUGGUUGCGCCCUUUCGGCCUCGCUUUCCGUUUUUUGGCUUCAUCCCCUAGAUCUGCAAACAGUUCCUCGUGUUUCUUCCGUUAGCCGGGAAACGCGAACUGCAGCGUUUGGGACCCGGGUUUGCGCGUGUGGAAAGCAAAAGGGGUUACUCUGCUGGAGUUCGACAUUGCAAAUAAAGGUCUUUAUCCCCGGCGGUUCUACAAAAUUAGUUCUGCAGGGAUUCUGGUUGAAAGAAGCGUUAAAGUGGGCCUUGUAGGAGUCAGCAAUAAUCCAAUUUUACAUGGGUGCAGGUGGCUGCCUGUGUCUAGCGCUUUCACACAUCUCAUAUCUUCAUCCACGCCGUGGGUAUUUUUUUUCCACGGUGUGUUUCUGUUGCUGCCUCCAGUAUAUUGCUUAAUCAUCCUACCUGGUAAUUAUUUAUGCAUUUUUCUCCUACUCUCGACUCAGCUCCUAGGGAAUAAAAACACAUUAACUUAUCUUUGUGCCCACAGCACCCACCAAGUAUUUCCAUCACGUAAUACUGCCUCUAGAAAGGCAGGAGGAGAAGCAGUCACGCUAAGGAUCUAGGCAAGCCAGAUCUUUUGUCCGGUUUUAGGAGGUGGCCAGCCCUUACUUAUUCCACAAGUGUUUUUCCAGAAACUCAGACUUGAUAUUGCCUCAAGUCCAAGGCAGUGUGCUUCCCCCACUCACAUAUCACUAAUAGUAGCUAACAUUUGUUCAGAUCCCUGUAUGUACUCUGCCACUGUUUUAAAUGUUACACCCGGGUUACCUCAUUUAAUCCUUACAACUGCCCUGUGAGGUAGGUACUAUUAUUAUCUCUACUUUGUAGAUGGGAUUCACCGAGGCACAGACGGUUAAAAAACCUAGCCCAAAUAACACAAAUAAACAGCAGAGCAUGCAGUGCUAGAGUCUGCAUUCUUAACAAUUGCUAUAUUCUCCCUCUCCGUGAAUGUGGGCUGAGAUGCUGAAACAGGCAUGUGCUGUGGGGGAGAAAAAGCUUUGUCCAACCAAGUGCUUUCUAAUGUCCAGAUGACAUAGAGCUAGGAUUUCCUAAUGUCUUUUUUCCCCUAUUUUUCUCUCCAUUUCAGGGUUGAGUUUGUGCAUCGAUUGUGAACACAACAGGCAGCAGGCUAUAAUGGUGGUCCUGGCUGGAGUAGUUUUCACAGACUUCAGUAAUCUGUGGAGAUGAACGGGCAGUUCUCUGUAGUUUUCACAGAUCACUGCCAGUUCGUUUUGAGGCCUUCAGGAGUGAAGACCUGGCUCAUCAUCACUCUUUGUUGUUUUGUUAAAUUUAUUUACACCCUACUUUAUUCCAGAGGAAAGGAUUUAACGUAGUUUACAUAAAUGUGUACAUCAGGGUAAAUUAAAAAUAAGUACAGAGAAAAAUAGGACAAAAGAAAACCGUGAGUGUGAAAGAUAAGAUUAAGCCAGCAGUUUUGUAUGCAAAAUGCAUGGUGUAAGGUCCUAUUGGUUUGCUGGAGGUAGGCCACACAUAUGACUCUCAGUUUUCUAGCAACCAAGAAAAAGAUCAGUUGCAAUCGGAGUAGGUGUUUUGGCUAAGCUGGAACUAGGACUUGAAUAUAGCAGCUUGUAGAGUUAUACCACUUGCCCAAAUCUCUUCCAUGAGCCUCUUUAAGUGUAACAGAAUGCCUGGGAGCACGUAAAUGCUCCUACUUAGAUGCCUACUUAGCCUCUAAUUUUCAUGGGGCCCAUGAAUCCCAUGAAAAAGAACUUUGAACCCUGUCCACAAUUAGAGUUCAGGUAUACGCAGACAUGUUUAAAGACAAGGGACACCCAAAGGAAAGAUUGCACAGAGAGAAAGUGAGCAUCCGAGAGAAAAUCACCACAAGUGAGGCAGAGGGAGGCCGGUCUCAGCAGAGUUUUGGAGGUCGUGAGAAGAAGAGAUAAUGUCUGUGCCUAUCAGAUAAAGGCAAACCAGUGCUCAGAGGAACCCAACCAUCUCUGAAUUGAGACCAGAGAGCUGUCUCUAUGGAUAGUCCUUAGAGAAGGCAUUUCGGAACACAGUAAACAGCAGCCUGGUGACUCCGAUUACAGGGCCAGUUGCCUUUGUUACAAUAAAAGCAAGUCAUCUACACAGAUUUUUCCUACCAGGAAGAGCAUGUGCUGACCAACAGACAUGAAUUUCAGCCUGGUAGUUACAACAUUCACAGUAUACCCACAUCACUAAGCUGGGAGGCACAUUUUGAGACCCAGAAUCCUGACACCUCCAUGCCUUCAAAAGGAUGAGCAGAUUCAUGUAUGACCAGAAUGUAAACCAGGAUCACAGAGCAGCCGGAGAGGUGGUGACAGAACCAUCGAUGGAACCCUGGGCUCCAGGUUCUGACUCCUAUUUUCACUCACUAAUUUUUUUUUUUUGAGAUGGAGUCUUGCUCUGUCGCCAGGCUGGAGUAGAGUGGCAC
Molecule: long non-coding RNA, 2580 nt
Filed under: Homo sapiens (human)
Lineage: Eukaryota; Metazoa; Chordata; Mammalia; Primates; Hominidae
Description: HSALNT0301394
Source: RNAcentral